UUUUUACGGUAAUAACCCCUUUAGGUUCGAGGGCUGAAAAGUACCGUAUGAAUAAGUUCGGCUAAUUCCGGGCCAGCAGCCGACGUAAUACGGAGGAUCCGAGCGUUAUCCGGAUUUAUUGGGUUUAAAGGGUGCGUAGGCGGCCUUAUAAGUCAGGGGUGAAAUACGGCAGCUCAACUGUCGCAGUGCCUUUGAUACUGUAGGGCUUGAAUCUAUUUGAAGUGGGCGGAAUAAGACAAGUAGCGGUGAAAUGC
This 254-nucleotide ribosomal RNA is filed under the name Sphingobacterium tabacisoli. Its description in RNAcentral is "partial 16S ribosomal RNA". It matches the Rfam family "Bacterial small subunit ribosomal RNA", at positions 434 to 689 of the family's 1533-position model. Lineage: Bacteria; Pseudomonadati; Bacteroidota; Sphingobacteriia; Sphingobacteriales; Sphingobacteriaceae. The record is from RNAcentral.